This 490-nucleotide ribosomal RNA is filed under the name uncultured bacterium. RNAcentral describes it as "partial 16S ribosomal RNA". It matches the Rfam family "Bacterial small subunit ribosomal RNA", at positions 29 to 507 of the family's 1533-position model. The record is from RNAcentral.
AUUGAACGCUGGCGGCAGGCCUAACACAUGCAAGUCGAACGGUAACAGGAAGAAGCUUGCUUCUUUGCUGACGAGUGGCGGACGGGUGAGUAAUGUCUGGGAAACUGCCUGAUGGAGGGGGAUAACUACUGGAAACGGUAGCUAAUACCGCAUAACGUCGCCAGACCAAAGAGGGGGACCUUCGGGCCUCUGGCCAUCGGAUGUGCCCAGGUGGGAUUCGCUAGUCGGUGGGGUAACGGCUCACCUAGGCGACGAGCCCUAGCUGGUGUGAGAGGAUGACCGGCCACACUGGAACUUGGCCGCGGUCCAUGCUCCUGCGGGAGGGAGCAGUGGGGAAUAUUGCGCAAUGGGGGCAAGCCUGAUGCAGCCAGGCCGCGUGUAUGAAGAAGGCCUUCGGGUUGUAAAGUACGUUCAGCGGGGAGGAAGGGAGUAAAGUUAAUACCUUGGCUCAUUGACGUUACCCGCAGAAGAAGCACCGGCUAACUCCGUG